Molecule: ribosomal RNA, 305 nt
Filed under: uncultured bacterium
Lineage: Bacteria
Description: bacterial SSU rRNA
Rfam family: Bacterial small subunit ribosomal RNA
Source: RNAcentral
UCCUACGGGGGGCAGCAGUGGGGAAUAUUGGGCAAUGGACGCAAGUCUGACCCAGCAACGCCGCGUGAAGGAAGAAGGCUUUCGGGUUGUAAAGUUCUGUCCUUAUCGAAGAGAGGGUAUAGAGUGAAAAAUGAUAUACUAGGACGGUAGAUGAGGAGGAAGCCACGGCUAACUACGUGCCAGCAGCCGCGGUAAUACGUAGGUGGCAAGCGUUGUCCGGAUUUACUGGGUGUAAAGGGCGUGCAGCCGGGCUGACAAGUCAGAUGUGAAAUCCCGCGGCUCAACCGCGGAACUGCAUUUGAAAC